CAGACUCACACGCCUAAAUCCCGUCGCUGUCUCCUCAGUACUCACCCUUUCCACUUCUUCAAGUGUCUGCAUAUAUCUUGAACGAGUCAAAACUCUACGACCCCUCUCUCUAUCUCUGAUGGCGGGAAAGCUCAGAUGCGUCGUGGUAGCCGUUGAUGGAGGCGAGGAGAGCAUGAGCGCCCUUAAAUGGGCCCUGCAGAAUCUACGGCUAAGAUCUCAAUCAGAUGACGCCGAACCCGGCUCCUUCGUAAUCCUCCAUGUUCAAUCUCCACCGUCCAUCGCCGCAGGCCUCAAUCCCGGUGCUAUUCCCUUUGGCGGUCCCGCUGAUGUCGAGGUGCCGGCUUUCACGGCGGCGAUCGAGGCCCACCAGAAAAGAAUCACCGAGGCGAUUAUAGCCCACGCGCUGCAGAUAUGUGCGGAGAAGAACAUCGCGAAUGUCAAAACACAAGUAGUCAUUGGCGAUCCAAAGGAUAUGAUUUGUGACGUUAUUGCCAACUUGAACGCGGAUCUCCUUGUAAUGGGGUGUCGCGAUUCCGGUGCCAUUAAAAGAAUGCUUUGAAAAUGGAUGAAUUGGUGUUGGUCUUGAAUUCAGCCAUGCAGAACACGUGUGAGGAUUGCGGGCGUGCUAGAACGGAUUGGGUCUGAUUCAAACUGUGACCACCGACCCUUGGCGUUGAGAUGGAGCAAAGUCCGGUCGUCUGCCUUACCAUUCAUCUAUUCAGCCAACUGUCGCGCUCGUUACUCAAGCGACUAGUGGAGUUCGGGGCUUUUCUUCCAAUGAGUUACUUUUUGCCUUGAAAAUUCAAGGACUUUCAAAAGUGCAACAGUUGUAUGGUCAAAAUGGAAAAUAUUGGAGAGAGAUGGAUGCGGAGAAGGUCCCGUGACUUACCACUACAGCAGGAUCAACAGCCUAGCUGAGAGCAGUAGGGUGCUUCCAGGAGCAGCGUGCUAAUGAGCGAGGCAAGGGCAAUGUUGGAGAUGACAACUAAGGUUGGCCCUGCGUGUGAAAGUAGGCUGACGGAUUCCUAAGCUACAGUCUUCCUUCAGAUCUGACAUGCCAACUCCGGGAUGCCAAACCUAUGAAUAAUGUGUUCUUGAAUAAAUUCAAUCACAUCAGUGUGCCUGCCUUCUUUUAUAGGCUUAGCCUCUACCCACUUUGUGAAAUAAUCUGUUGCAACAAUGAUGAAUUUGUUCCUUUGAGGAUGGAGGUUUUAUCAUACCGAUCAAAUCCAUGGCCCAGCCCUGAAAAGGCCACGACUUUAUGAUUGGAUUUAAUUUUGUGGCGGGCACAUGUUGCACAGGACCAUGUUGCUGGCAAGGUCGACAACCAUGCGCAUAUCUGAUACAAAAGUCUGUCAUAUUCGAUCAAUAAUACUCGCAUUGCCGAACCAACAUUCUCAUUUUUCUGCCGGCCUGAUAAGCCCUGCAAAUGUCUUCGAUGCUUUUGGGAAGUGUAAGCAACUACUGCAUCAAUCAUGUCCAGUGCCCUGUUGUGGUAGCAAAGGGUACUUGAUGAGCUACUAUAGUGAUGUCUCUCCCUUUUCUCUCAGCAUCAAGCAAUUCUCAUGGUUUGUUGGUUUGUGCAUGUAAAAAUGCUGUUUCUUGUCCACGGCGUGCAUCUUCAAUUAUUAAAAGGGUGUGGGCUUGGCUGAAUGCUGUGGUUGUUGACUUCUUGUUGUUAAUAUUGAAUUUUCAUCCUUGUAUUUGAAGGCCGAUUGCUUGCUUUCGCUCUGCAAGUGGUCAGGUGUGAGGUGUUUUGGGGUCUUUUAAUCUUUUGUUUAUUUAUUUAUUUAUAUUUAGUAGGUUUGGGGAUCUUUGAAUCUAAAGUCUUUGUGGUGUUGUUUGCUGUCCCAAUAAACUUUUGGACGGUCCUCAUUUGUUGACUUUGGAUAGGCCAUGGUUCAUGUAAUAAAAAUCUUGUGAUAUUUUUCUCCUUAGCUUCGAAUCUUAGCAAUCAUAUUGAAUGGACACUCUUGUUUUGUCA
Molecule: RNA transcript, 1984 nt
Organism: Magnolia sinica
Lineage: Eukaryota; Viridiplantae; Streptophyta; Magnoliopsida; Magnoliales; Magnoliaceae
Gene name: universal stress protein PHOS34
Exons: 5
Source: RefSeq, a predicted model, not a curated record